GACGAACGCUGGCGGCGUGCUUAACACAUGCAAGUCGAACGGUAAGGCUCCAGCUUGCUGGGGUACACGAGUGGCGAACGGGUGAGUAACACGUGGGUGACCUGCCCUGCACUUCGGGAUAAGCCUGGGAAACUGGGUCUAAUACCGGAUAGGACCGCACCGUGAGGGUGUGGUGGAAAGUUUUUUCGGUGUGGGAUGGGCCCGCGGCCUAUCAGCUUGUUGGUGGGGUAAUGGCCUACCAAGGCGGCGACGGGUAGCCGGCCUGAGAGGGUGGACGGCCACAUUGGGACUGAGACACGGCCCAGACUCCUACGGGAGGCAGCAGUGGGGAAUAUUGCACAAUGGGCGGAAGCCUGAUGCAGCGACGCCGCGUGGGGGAUGACGGCCUUCGGGUUGUAAACUCCUUUCACCAUCGACGAANGGUUUCUGACGGUAGAUGGAGAAGAAGCACCGGCUAACUACGUGCCAGCAGCCGCGGUAAUACGUAGGGUGCGAGCGUUUGUCCGAAUUACUGGGCGUAAAGAGCUCGUAGGUGGUUUGUCGCGUCGUCUGUGAAAUUCCGGGGCUCAUCUCCGGGCGUGCAGGCGAUACGGGCAUAACUUGAGUACUGUAGGGGAGACUGGAAUUCCUGGUGUAGCGGUGAAAUGCGCAGAUAUCAGGAGGAAUACCGGUGGCGAAGGCGGGUCUCUGGGCAGUAACUGACGCUGAGGAGCGAAAGCAUGGGGAGCGAACAGGAUUAGAUACCCUGGUAGUCCAUGCCGUAAACGGUGGGCGCUAGGUGUGGGUUUCCUUCCACGGGAUCCGUGCCGUAGCUAACGCAUUAAGCGCCCCGCCUGGGGAGUACGGCCGCAAGGCUAAAACUCAAAGGAAUUGACGGGGGCCCGCACAAGCGGCGGAGCAUGUGGAUUAAUUCGAUGCAACGCGAAGAACCUUACCUGGGCUUGACAUAUACAGGAUCGCGCCAGAGAUGGUGUUUCCCUUGUGGCUUGUAUACAGGUGGUGCAUGGUUGUCGUCAGCUCGUGUCGUGAGAUGUUGGGUUAAGUCCCGCAACGAGCGCAACCCUUGUCUUAUGUUGCCAGCACGUUGUGGUGGGGACUCGUAAGAAACUGCCGGGGUUAACUCGGAGGAAGGUGGGGAUGACGUCAAAUCAUCAUGCCCCUUAUGUCCAGGGCUUCACACAUGCUACAAUGGUCGGUACAGUGGGUUGCCAGUCCGUGAGGGCGAGCUAAUCCCGCAAAGCCGGUCUCAGUUCGGAUCGGGGUCUGCAACUCGACCCCGUGAAGUCUGAGUCGCUAGUAAUCGCAGAUCAGCAACGCUGCGGUGAAUACGUUCCCGGGCCU
RNAcentral lists this ribosomal RNA (1341 nucleotides) under uncultured bacterium. RNAcentral describes it as "partial 16S ribosomal RNA". It matches the Rfam family "Bacterial small subunit ribosomal RNA", at positions 27 to 1381 of the family's 1533-position model. The record is from RNAcentral.